ACUUUCGGGGAUGGAGGGGAAGCCCAGGUACUCUCUGUGCUUCCUAACUGGCCGUGGAAGGGGAGGUGGAGACGGGAAGCGGCAGUCGGUUUCACUGCAGCGUCUGGGAUUCCUGCCCCGAGUUCUUCCUCAGAAACCGGCGGCGGCUGCGGACAGGGGCGGCUGGGCUGAGGGGCGGGAAGCCGCUGGCCAGCUUCACCCUCUCUCUGGGGCUCCUGCAGGGCAAGGGGAGCGGAUGUGAAGUUGUCCCUGUAGAUAUAAUUAACAGCAUUGUGGACAAGACCACAAGUUCAGAAGGAGCUUACAAAGGAGAAAUUCAUGCUGCAAAUGGUGACACUUAAGCCAAAAGCAAUAAAAUGCAUUCAUCUGGGACACUGUCGCCCUGGGGUUUAUGGCUUCCACAGGACAAUCCAAGUCUGGGCUUCAGACCUCGUCAUUCUGCCACACUGUGACCCCGAGGCAGGGCGCGCCAUAAACAGACCGGGAGGCUGCUCUGUGUGCCCUCGCUGCGGGCUGGCUGCUCUGGGAAGAACACGCAGCCCUCAACAGGGAAAUGCGAUAACUAUUCUGCUUCUUGGAAUGAUUUGCAGAUUCAUGCAUUCAAACAUUCUUCAGAUGCUGACUGGUGGUAUAUGUCACCACGUUCCCGGUGGGAUGCGACCUGGUGGUGGAAAACAGACAGCUCACUUAAACGCCAGUUCGGCCACUUACUAACCGUGUGACCUUGGGAAACUUACUUAACUUCUCUGAGCCGAAGUUUACUCACAGAUGUAAAGUAGGGGAGGUCAAGAAUGUGCUGGAACACCAUAAAGAUGGACUGAAACCUGUGACCAUUCUUGUUGCCUCUGGUAUUUGUGUCCUGAAGAAGCUGGACCCUUUGUCACGGAGCUGAACACACACACCUGGCCCAGGAGCUGGUGUCGCUGAAGGAGGAUCCAGGAGAAGGUGGGACAGCUGCAGGCCUGGCCCCGGCCCCAAGCCAACAAGAGAAACAUGGUCGAAAUACCCUACAGACCAGAAGCCAGCACCUCAGCAGUCAUCUUGAUUCUUCUCUCUCUCUCCCCCGACAUCCCAGCCAUUAACAAGGCCUACAGGUGCCACCUCUGUAUCGCAUCUCAAGCCCGCUUGCGGCUCCUUCUCCGCGUCCACAGCACCACGUUGGUCCAAACUCCAUCCGCUCCUCCUGCAUCAUUGUGAUGGCUUCCCAAUGGCUCCAGGUAGCCUUCCUCUGGUGACAUGUUCUUGGAUUAUGACAUAUUCUUGGCUGCCUUCUUGGAACAAGGAAUUCCUGUCAUGGGAGUCCCACCUCGAUGUUUUAGAAAUCGGAAUGCAAACUCCCAGGCCCCUCUGUGGACAUGUGACCCAGAACGCACGCACUGGCCACCCCCCAUGUAGCGAGCCUCCAGGUCUCUGAGAGGUGACAUUGGCGCUGGGGCAGCAGCAUCGUGGCAGGCUGCACUGCUGGCCUCUGGUGCUCAGCAGCAGCACUGGCCCUGGGGGUUUAAGCAUCGGGCCCCUUGGCAGGCACCGUUCUGAAGACUGCCCUUGGAAGCUUCAUUUCAAGUCUGGUUCUCUUCAGUCCUCCUAGUAACUUUGGAGUGACCUCAUAUCAUUUGAUAAAUAAGUCUCUUUUCAGCUUAAAGCAGCCAGAGUGGAUGCUGUUGUUUUCCCUCAGAACUGACUAACACACCUCUCUUCAGUCUGUUCUCCAGUCAGCAGUCAAAAUCAGCUAUUAAAAACUGAAAUCGAGUCGCACCGCUCGCCUCCUGGGAAGGCCGCCUACCACAGGGAUCUUGCUGGACUCUCCCCCCUCCUCCCAUCUCACGCUGCCUCUCGCUCUCUCCGCUCCAGUCCCGCUCGCUCUCACACAGCAGGUUCUUCCCCAGCGCCACACUCUGCACCAACCCUUCCCUCCGCCUGGCGGGUUUUCCCAUCAGCCCUUCCCGUACUUGACCCCUGGAUGGCACCUUCAAUGCCACCUCUUCAAAAAGGCAUGCUUGGACCACCCGGGAGCCAAAGAGCAUGCCUCCCUCAUUACGCUCCAUCUUCCCACACUUUAUUUCCUUCAGACGAUGCACCCACGCUGCUUGUUUACUUGUUUAUUGCUGUAUUGUGUUAUUGUUUCCUGUAUUACUUGUCGUCUUGUUUAGUGACCAUCUCCUGCACUAGAGUAUAGACUCUCUGAGGGCAGAGAUGGUGUUUUCUCAUAAACACAGGGUCCCCAGACCUAAUACAACCCCUGCUCCAUUGUAAGAAGUCCACCGAUCUUAGUUGAAUGAAUGAAUUACCAUGACUGUUAGCAUUUAUC
Molecule: long non-coding RNA, 2308 nt
Organism: Equus asinus (donkey)
Lineage: Eukaryota; Metazoa; Chordata; Mammalia; Perissodactyla; Equidae
Source: Ensembl